GUGGAGAAGAGAUGGGGAGCCCCUAUCCCAACAAGGCUCAGAGACACCUGCUGUUAGGAGCUGCUGGCCUUGCUUGAUCUCCACACUCUGC
This is a non-coding RNA of Ceratotherium simum simum (southern white rhinoceros), 91 nucleotides long. The record is from RefSeq and is a predicted model, not a curated record. Lineage: Eukaryota; Metazoa; Chordata; Mammalia; Perissodactyla; Rhinocerotidae.